This 500-nucleotide ribosomal RNA is filed under the name uncultured bacterium. Its description in RNAcentral is "partial 16S ribosomal RNA". It matches the Rfam family "Bacterial small subunit ribosomal RNA", at positions 30 to 523 of the family's 1533-position model. The record is from RNAcentral.
AUUGAACGCUGGCGGCAGGCCUAGCACAUGCAAGUCGAGCGGAUGAGAGGAGCUUGCUUCUCGAUUCAGCGGCGGACGGGUGAGUAAUGCCUAGGAAUCUGCCUGGUAGUGGGGGACAACGUUUCGAAAGGAACGCUAAUACCGCAUACGUCCUACGGGAGAAAGCAGGGGACCUUCGGGCCUUGCGCUAUCAGAUGAGCCUAGGUCGGAUUAGCUAGUUGGUGAGGUAAUGGCUCACCAAGGCGACGAUCCGUAACUGGUCUGGGAGGAUGAUCAGUCACACUGGAACUGAGACACGGUCCAGACUCCUACGGGAGGUAGCAGUGGGGAAUAUUGGACAAUGGGCGAAAGCCUGAUCCAGCCAUGCCGCGUGUGUGAAGAAGGUCUUCGGAUUGUAAAGCACUUUAAGUUGGGAGGAAGGGUUGUAGAUUAAUACUCUGCAAUUUUGACGUUACCGACAGAAUAAGCACCGGCUAACUCUGUGCCAGCAGCCGCGGUAA